RNAcentral lists this ribosomal RNA (164 nucleotides) under Cichorium intybus (chicory). Its description in RNAcentral is "5.8S ribosomal RNA". It matches the Rfam family "5.8S ribosomal RNA". Rfam says of the family: 5.8S ribosomal RNA (5.8S rRNA) is a component of the large subunit of the eukaryotic ribosome. It is transcribed by RNA polymerase I as part of the 45S precursor that also contains 18S and 28S rRNA. RNAcentral also lists the same sequence under 8 other names. Lineage: Eukaryota; Viridiplantae; Streptophyta; Magnoliopsida; Asterales; Asteraceae. The record is from RNAcentral.
CAAACGACUCUCGGCAACGGAUAUCUCGGCUCACGCAUCGAUGAAGAACGUAGCAAAAUGCGAUACUUGGUGUGAAUUGCAGAAUCCCGUGAACCAUCGAGUUUUUGAACGCAAGUUGCGCCCAAAGCCAUCCGGCCGAGGGCACGCCUGCCUGGGCGUCACGC